This 162-nucleotide ribosomal RNA is filed under the name uncultured bacterium. RNAcentral describes it as "partial 16S ribosomal RNA". It matches the Rfam family "Bacterial small subunit ribosomal RNA", at positions 368 to 523 of the family's 1533-position model. The record is from RNAcentral.
ACCGUGGGCGAAGCCUGAUCCAGCCAUGCCGCGUGUGUGAAGAAGGUCUUCGGAUUGUAAAGCACUUUAAGUUGGGAGGAAGGGCAUUAACCUAAUACGUUAGUGUUUUGACGUUACCGACAGAAUAAGCACCGGCUAACUCUGUGCCAGCAGCCGCGGUAA